GAUGAACGCUGGCGGCGUGCCUAAUACAUGCAAGUCGAGCGAACAGACGAGGAGCUUGCUCCUCUGACGUUAGCGGCGGACGGGUGAGUAACACGUGGAUAACCUACCUAUAAGACUGGGAUAACUGCGGGAAACCGGAGCUAAUACCGGAUAAUAUAUUGAACCGCAUGGUUCAAUAGUGAAAGACGGUUUUGCUGUCACUUAUAGAUUGAUCCGCGCCGCAUUAGCUAGUUGGUAAGGUAACGGCUUACCAAGGCAACGAUGCGUAGCCGACCUGAGAGGGUGAUCGGCCACACUGGAACUGAGACACGGUCCAGACUCCUACGGGAGGCAGCAGUAGGGAAUCUUCCGCAAUAGGCGAAAGCCUGACGGAGCAACGCCACGUGAGUGAUGAAGGUCUUCGGAUCGUAAAACUCUGUUAUUAGGGAAGAACAAAUGUGUAAGUAACUAUGCACGUCUUGACGGUACCUAAUCAGAAAGCCACGGCUAACUACGUG
This 497-nucleotide ribosomal RNA is filed under the name uncultured bacterium. RNAcentral's name for it is "partial 16S ribosomal RNA". It matches the Rfam family "Bacterial small subunit ribosomal RNA", at positions 28 to 507 of the family's 1533-position model. The record is from RNAcentral.